UACGUGGGGUGCGAGCGUUGUUCGGAAUUACUGGGCGUAAAGCGCGUGUAGGCGGCUUAUUAUGUCAGGUGUGAAAGCCCUCGGACCUAACCCGAGGAAGUGGCGCCUGAAACUGAUAGCUUGAGUACGAGAGAGGAGGACGGAAUUCCCAGUGUAGAGGUGAAAUUCGUAGAUAUUGGGAAGGAACACCGGUGGCGAAAGCGGUUCUCUGGAUCGAUACUGACGCUAAGAGCGAAAGCGUGGGG
Molecule: ribosomal RNA, 245 nt
Filed under: uncultured bacterium
Lineage: Bacteria
Description: partial 16S ribosomal RNA
Rfam family: Bacterial small subunit ribosomal RNA
Source: RNAcentral